GAUGAACGCUGGCGGCGUGCCUAAUACAUGCAAGUCGAGCGAACAGACGAGGAGCUUGCUCCUCUGACGUUAGCGGCGGACGGGUGAGUAACACGUGGAUAACCUACCUAUAAGACUGGGAUAACUUCGGGAAACCGGAGCUAAUACCGGAUAAUAUUUUGAACCGCAUGGUUCAUUAGUGAAAGACGGUUUUGCUGUCACUUAUCGAUGGAUCCGCGCCGCAUUAGCUAGUUGGUAAGGUAACGGAUUACCAAGGCAACGAUGCGUAGCCGACCUGAGAGGGUGAUCGGCCACACUGGAACUGAGACACGGUCCAGACUCCGACGGGAGGCAGCAGUAGGGAAUCUUCCGCAAUGGGCGAAAGCCUGACGGAGCAACGCCGCGUGAGUGAUGAAGGUCUUCGGAUCGUAAAACUCUGUUAUUAGGGAAGAACAAAUGUGUAAGUAACUAUGCACAUCUUGACGGUACCUAAUCAGAAAGCCACGGCUAACUACGUG
Molecule: ribosomal RNA, 497 nt
Filed under: uncultured bacterium
Lineage: Bacteria
Description: partial 16S ribosomal RNA
Rfam family: Bacterial small subunit ribosomal RNA
Source: RNAcentral